UACGGAGGGAGCUAGCGUUGUUCGGAAUUACUGGGCGUAAAGCGCACGUAGGCGGCUUUGUAAGUUAGAGGUGAAAGCUCGGGGCUCAACCCCGGAAUUGCCUUUAAGACUGCAUCGCUUGAAUCCGGGAGAGGUGAGUGGAAUUCCGAGUGUAGAGGUGAAAUUCGUAGAUAUUCGGAAGAACACCAGUGGCGAAGGCGGCUCACUGGACCGGUAUUGACGCUGAGGUGCGAAAGCGUGGGGAGCAAACAGG
RNAcentral lists this ribosomal RNA (253 nucleotides) under uncultured bacterium. RNAcentral describes it as "partial 16S ribosomal RNA". It matches the Rfam family "Bacterial small subunit ribosomal RNA", at positions 524 to 776 of the family's 1533-position model. The record is from RNAcentral.